RNAcentral lists this long non-coding RNA (2694 nucleotides) under Daucus carota (carrot). RNAcentral describes it as "long non-coding RNA (DCAR_LNC006848)". The record is from RNAcentral. Lineage: Eukaryota; Viridiplantae; Streptophyta; Magnoliopsida; Apiales; Apiaceae.
AUUACUUAUUAUGAUACUCUUGUUAUAUCACCCAUUUAGCAAAAAAUAUACUAUUUAACAUCUAUUUGGAAAUUAAAAGGAACAAAAAUGUGAGGCUGAAGUUGCUUAAGCUUUCCAUAAAGUAGCAGGUAAAUCUCCGCCAUUACAAGGUCCUGUAGUGAAGGAGAAAGUACUGCCUGAAUAGCCUUCGAAUGAUGUGCCAANUACCAAGGCAGCUGUGUUUUUAUGAAUGCCAGGGAAACAGGUGGGUUGUGCAAAAUACAAUACAGGCACUAAUGAAAACAGAAGAAUUCUUGUACUGCAGCUCCUGAUAUUAAGGCUGGUCUCAAGUGAAAAGUAAAUACAUGAAGACACAACUAUAUACAUUCCAGAAAAUAUGGUAGGUUGCAUGUAAGUUGGCAAAGGUCUAUAGUAUUAACUAUUCUCUGAUGUAAGCCAUGAUGUGUACUUGUAUUUUGUAGCCUAUAAAUAAGGCGUUUGUUUGCUGUAACAUACAGAGUGUAAAAAUCUGAAGAGAGAAAAGAAAAAGAGCAGAAUAAAUUUACUGUUAUUUAGUCUGAUGUAUUUUUCUAUCAGUUUUUUUAAUAUAGGUCAAUAUCAGUUUUAAUAUCCUUGUCGAGCACUUAGGACUUAAGUGCAGAUUAAUUGUAAGGGUGACAGAUUGAAUCAUAGUCUGCCUUUGUUUGUUGUGUUUUAAUAGUCCUCAUUUGUUUUAAUAGGGUGCACACACGUGAUUCCUACUAGAUAAUUCAUAGUGAAAUAAAUCUUAUGACUAUUUGAUAUUUCAAGUGGCUAAAUGGAGAGACAUAGCAACUGCAGAUGAUUACUUUAGCAUCUAAUGAAUAGAAUAGGAGGUGGAGAUCAUUAGUGAUUGUAGGCCUUGAAAUGCGACUCAACUAUCUGCUUAUGUAAUAUUAACGUUUUAAUUUGUCAUCCUAACCAUAUAAAUUGUAAUGUUGAAUGACUCAACUAUCUGCUUAUGUAAUAUUAACGUUUUAUAUUAGUUUGAUAUGGAGCUCAAUGCGGCUCAACUAUGUGCUUAUUAAAUGAUCAUGAACCAAGCUGAGCUUGUGCCAAGUCACUACAGAGAUGCACAUUGCACUGCAGUUUGAAAGAAGACGCAAAAUAUUUAAGUUUAAUUGAUCACCUGCUUGGUAGAUUAUUAUGAUUCUUUCCACCAACUUGCUGCAUUUGAUCCCUAAAAUCGAUGAUGAUGGAGUUGAUCUUUCUGGGCACCACUCUACAUCUGGAAUCAGUAUUUUCACGAUUAUUGUUCUCCAUGCUACACAACACUGCACAUCAGGCAUAUGUCUAUGAAAUUCCAGAUAAAUAAAUAGUACUUGACACAACUAUUUCUUAAGAUAUCAAUUCUCAUAUUUAUAUUUUAAAACUUAUCAAAAAUAGUAAAUUGUUAUAAAUCUUGUCAUGUAUUUGUUUAUUAAUAACGUGAAACUGAUUUUAGUUAGGCGUUUUAUGUGCAUAUAGCGAUCCAUUAUUUUUAAUAUAAGUGGAACUAAUCAAACACCCCAAAUUACUAGCAUAUUCCAUAUAAAAAUCAACUGCAUGCGCGUACCUACAUCCAUCAUAUUUAGUUUAUGCAUUAAAUUUCAAAUGGUCUCUUCACUAUACUCAUUUUAAUAUAUACUCAUUUUGCUUACUUUCAUCUAUUAUUUUACUUAUGUUCUUAAUUUCGAGGUCCCCCCAAUAUAAAUAUUUAGGGUUCUAACGGAAGCCCAAAAUUUUAAUGGGUAUACCUCGGAGAAGUUAUAUGGACUAAAUUACAUAUCCUGUAUUCUUAGAUUAAUAUAUUUCUAUACAUAUGCGUAAUGUCUAGUCUGGUGACAUCUUCGGUUUUAUGAUGUUACAGGUAUUCAUCUCUGACAUGGAUCGCAAUAAAUGAGGAAAUAUUGUUUCCCCUGGAAGUGGUAUUUCCAGAUGGAUAGUUGCACCCACGAGGAUCGACAACAUCUACAUCGAUUUCACCUGUUAUAAGAUACAACAAGUUGGUGGAAACCAUCACAACAAUCUAACAAAAAGGUGACCUUUAAACUUAAAAAUUUUGCUGUCUUUUCUCCAACUAUCAGCUAAUUGUGCAUCUGCAGUAACUUGGCGCGUGCUCACAUUGCUUCAUGAAAUUUAAGUAAUCAAAGCAAUGAGAAAGGACGUUGAGAAAAUAUGAAAAACAAUACAAUUGUGUGCAGGAAUACCUCGAGGGAACUUAAAAAAUGUGCUUAUAAGCAGGAAAGUGGAAAAUCUCUUGCGGAAGAAUCUAACAAAAAGGCAAAUGAAAGAAACAAAGGAGGUGGCUGUAAUUUGAGGUGAACUUUCUAUUUUUUAAUUAUCUUCUCCAUUUGGUACAAAGAGCUGGAAAAUGCUAAAGUGAAGGAAACAUAAAAGAUAUGUUAUACUUAUACACAUACCUGAUUACUUAUUAUGAUACUCUUGUUAUAUCACCCAUUUAGCAAAAAAUAUACUAUUUAACAUCUAUUUGGAAAUUAAAAGGAACAAAAAUGUGAGGCUGAAGUUGCUUAAGCUUUCCAUAAAGUAGCAGGUACCUGCAGCACAUUCAGGACAAUCUCCGCCAUCACAAGGUCCUGUAGUGAAGGAGAAAGUACUGCCUGAAUAGCCUGCGAAUGAGGUGCCAACUCUUCAAGGCACCACAACAUUUAAGAUUGUCAAUGUGGUUGAGGACUC